RNAcentral lists this RNase P RNA (313 nucleotides) under Lycalopex griseus (South American gray fox). Its description in RNAcentral is "Nuclear RNase P". It matches the Rfam family "Nuclear RNase P". From Rfam's summary of the family: Ribonuclease P (RNase P) is a ubiquitous endoribonuclease, found in archaea, bacteria and eukarya as well as chloroplasts and mitochondria. The record is from Rfam by way of RNAcentral. Lineage: Eukaryota; Metazoa; Chordata; Mammalia; Carnivora; Canidae.
GGCGGGAAGCUCAGCGGUGGGGCCACGCGCGGAGUGCGCGUCACUCUCCCGGCCCCUGGGAAGGUCUGAGACUCGGGCCAGCAGCGGCCCUAGCAGGGCCCUCCCCGCGCGCGGGGGGGUGAGUUCCCAGAGAGCGGGCCCCGGCGAGGGCCUUCGGGCAGGAGAGGCCGCGUGCGCGGCGGAUGCCCCCUCCCCGGGGCUUGGAAUAGACUCACGGCCGGCACGGUGAGUUCAAUGGCUGGGCCGGGGCACCCGAGCUGGCCGCACCCGGCCGCGGGGCUCCGGAACCCAAUUCAGACUACUCUCCCCCGCC